Small nuclear RNA from Cebus imitator (Panamanian white-faced capuchin), 104 nucleotides. Lineage: Eukaryota; Metazoa; Chordata; Mammalia; Primates; Cebidae. The record is from Ensembl.
GUUCUCAUUUUGGCAGCACAUAUACUAAAAUUAGAAUAAAUCAGAGAUUAGCAUAGCCCUUGCACAAGGAGGAGAUACAAAUUCAUGGAGUGUCCAUGGCGGGG